RNAcentral lists this small RNA (453 nucleotides) under Vigna angularis var. angularis. RNAcentral's name for it is "Non-protein coding transcript". Lineage: Eukaryota; Viridiplantae; Streptophyta; Magnoliopsida; Fabales; Fabaceae. The record is from RNAcentral.
ACAGUUUUUCCUGUGCAAAACACACCGUCUUUGCCAGCUAAACCCAUGGCCAAUGUAAACUUCUCAUCACCUAUGAUUAGAGAGUUUGAGAAGAAGAGAAAAGAUAUUUCGACAGUAGAUGGGUCUGUAGUUGCUAAGAAACGUCGAGGAAGACAACCUGGCAAGAAGAAACAAGUCCAAUGUACAAACAUGUUGCUACCUUCUAAUAACAAAGCAGAUUUUGGAUUCUCUUCUACAUUAACUCAAUCGUUGGCAGCAAACCCUACACAUAAGGAAUCACAAAUUUCAACUGAUUCAGUUUCGACAACACAUCCCAUAAUUCAUUCAUUUCCUAGUGUGUUCGUACCUGAGAUUUCUCCUGUUGCAAAAUGUAAUGAGAAAGUCAUUGAUGUGGUUACAACCAAGAGAGAUAUGGUUGAUCAUGUAAAGCAAACCUUCUGUAAAGAAGGCAAU